This 402-nucleotide ribosomal RNA is filed under the name uncultured bacterium. RNAcentral's name for it is "bacterial SSU rRNA". It matches the Rfam family "Bacterial small subunit ribosomal RNA", at positions 355 to 774 of the family's 1533-position model. The record is from RNAcentral.
UGGGGAAUAUUGGACAAUGGGCGCAAGCCUGAUCCAGCCAUGCCGCGUGGGUGAUGAAGGCCUUAGGGUUGUAAAGCCCUUUCGGCGGGGAAGAUAAUGACGGUACCCGCAGAAGAGGCCCCGGCUAACUUCGUGCCAGCAGCCGCGGUAAUACGAAGGGGGCUAGCGUUGCUCGGAAUUACUGGGCGUAAAGCGCACGUAGGCGGCUUGUUAAGUCGGGGGUGAAAUCCCGGAGCUCAACUCCGGAACUGCCUUCGAUACUGGCAAGCUCGAGUCCGGGAGAGGUGAGUGGAACUGCGAGUGUAGAGGUGAAAUUCGUAGAUAUUCGCAAGAACACCAGUGGCGAAGGCGGCUCACUGGCCCCGUACUGACGCUGAGGUGCGAAAGCGUGGGGAGCAAACA